CCUACGGGAGGCAGCAGUAGGGAAUAUUGCACAAUGGAGGAAACUCUGAUGCAGCGACGCCGCGUGAGUGAUGAAGGCCUUCGGGUCGUAAAACUCUGUGAUAAGGGAAGAUGAUGACGGUACCUUAUCAGAAAAGACCGGCUAACUUCGUGCCAGCAGCCGCGGUAAU
RNAcentral lists this ribosomal RNA (169 nucleotides) under uncultured bacterium. RNAcentral describes it as "partial 16S ribosomal RNA". It matches the Rfam family "Bacterial small subunit ribosomal RNA", at positions 338 to 524 of the family's 1533-position model. The record is from RNAcentral.